UAAUACAGAGGUCCCGAGCGUUGUUCGGAUUCACUGAGCGUAAAGGGUGCGUAGGCGGUCGGGCAAGUCUGAUGUGAAAUCUCCAGGCUCAACCUGGAAAAGGCAUUGGAAACUGCCUGGCUGGAGGCUUGGAGGGGGGACUGGAAUUCUCGGUGUAGCAGUGAAGUGCGUAGAGAUCGAGAGGAACACCAGUGACGAAGGCGAGCCCCUGGACAAGACCUGACGCUGAGGCACGAAAGCUAGGGGAGCAAACAG
RNAcentral lists this ribosomal RNA (255 nucleotides) under uncultured prokaryote. Its description in RNAcentral is "partial 16S ribosomal RNA". It matches the Rfam family "Bacterial small subunit ribosomal RNA", at positions 521 to 775 of the family's 1533-position model. The record is from RNAcentral.